This 7283-nucleotide long non-coding RNA is filed under the name Homo sapiens (human). Its description in RNAcentral is "HSALNT0328418". The record is from RNAcentral. Lineage: Eukaryota; Metazoa; Chordata; Mammalia; Primates; Hominidae.
UAUAUAUUAAUAUGUGUUUUUCUUUAUUAAUUUGUCUUGGAAUGUCUGUUAUUUCAUUAUUUCUUUAAUUAUUACUCUUGUUUCGGUUUCCCUUGUUUCUUCCUAAACCUACAUAUGCAAUAGUUCCUCUUUAUCAGCUGUUUCGCUUUUCAUGAUUUCAGUUACCCACGGUACAAUACAAUGAGAUAUUUUGAGAGAGAGAGACCCCAUCCACAUAACUUGUAUUACAGUAUAUUGCUAUAAUUGUUAUAUUUUAUUAUUAGUUAUUGUUGUUAAUCUCUUACUGUGCCUAUUUUAGAAAUUAAACUUUAUUAUAGGUAUGUAUGUAUAGGAAAAACCAUAGUGAAUACAGGGCUCAGUACUAUUUGCAGUUUCAGGCACCCACUGGGGAAUCUUAGAAUAUAUCCACUGCAGAUAAGAGAGACUACUGUAAUUCUGACAUUAGACAUUCACUAAUCAUCUGCCUCACAAUUUUCUUUUGCUGACAUUUACCCUUGCACUCUAGGAGAGUUUCUGAAGUUUGCCCCCCACAUAUUUUAUUUCUAAAUUCUGCUCUUUGAAACUUCUAAUACAGGUUUAAAUUUUGGUUUUCGUUUUUGGUUUCUUUGUGUCCCCUUCUUAUCCUCUCUUACCUCUUUGUCUCACUCCAUUAUCAUUCCAUCUCAAUCUAUAGCUCUUUACUCCAUUUCAUGAAGGUAAUACCAUCUUGUUUCCUAUCAAGGAUGUACACUUUUGUCUGAAUUUUCUUCUUAUUCUGUAUCAUUUUAUGAGAUCUGUCUUUUUCAGUCUUCGGGGUAAUGAUGCCCUCUGCCUUUCUCUGUGGUGGUUUUGAGAGGCAAAAUUUCUUUCUGAUUACUCUUUUAAGGAGAGCUUGGCCUACUCCUAGAGCUUGUCAGCUGUGAUGAGCACAUUGUCCUUAGCCCUGCUCUUCAUCUAUGUCCCUGCUAACUAAAUCUCCUCAGACCUACAGCUGUUUGGCAGGUGAAUAUGCACAAUGCUGGUAAAAUCCCCACUACCUAGUGGACUUUCAUUCAUUACAGAACAUCCACUGUAUGAAAUGAGAUGCAGGGAAUAACUCCAUUUUUUAGCAAGGAUUGCUAAUGCGGCUUUUUUUACCUCCACCCCCAAGAAGGCCACUUUGUACUUAGGACAACUACUCCCCCAGGUGCAGCAUGCUACUGCCACACCCUGCGCACAACCCAUCCUCCCACACCCUGCCCACUCCACUGAACGCACCAGAUUUCUGCUUAGUUGGUUUCCAGGAUUUGGAUUUGGAAUCUUUGACUUGGGUUAGAAAGAGAGGCACUAAUGGGGAAUAAAGAUAGGUUGCCUCAUGAAGAGGACUCCUACCAAAGAGGUUUGACUGCUAGGUUUUCUAGAUGGCUACAUUUCUGUGUGGAGUAUGAGCAUUCAGGAAAGAGGGGGUCUUUCAGGGACAUAAGCUUGCUCUGUUUCAGAUGCAUGACACAAGUGGUUCACCAAUUGUGCUUUUCAAUAUAGUUCCAUUGGCUUCGAUUAGGAUGGAGAUUCUGCCUAGAUUUUUGGCAUUUGGUAGGCUUCCUUUAGUGUUUGGUUAAGUUCUGCUCUCUUCUAUGAGAAAAUGAAAAAAUAGAAACUUCUAGAGACAAUAUUUUAUACCAGGAAUUCUUGAAAUUGGCUCAUAAUGACAGUGUUCAGCUUCUUGAAUCAAGCUCCUCUAUUCUAGUUUGCUUGGAGUGAAACCUAUGAAAUGGCUUUCCACUUUAAACUCUGUUCUGUGUAUCAUUCAGCCCCUCAUGAGUUUUAACAGAGGGGCAGGAGGAUUACUAGCAGGACAUGAUUAAUCAUCACAGGGCAUUUGCAUCACCUCUUUUGUGGUAUUUCUCUGUGUGGUCCCGGUACAUUUGUCUUUCUCUAUAAGUCUUCAUAAUGUUGGUCACUGCUUGUUUUCCUAUGAGCAAAACUUAUUUACAUAGAUAUUAGAAUUAUUUUCCUAUGUGGAAUGUGUCAGAUAGGUUUUCAUGAGCACUGCAUGAAUUUAAGUUCAAAGCUACAAUUAAAACUCCUGGCAUUAUGUAGACAUUAAAGCAAUCUAUUUAUCCUAAGAUACAAAUUCAGUUUGAAUUCUGAGAGAAAUUUAGAAAAUUUACAAAAUUUAGGACAAAAACUCUGUGCCAUUCUGAGACCACAGUGAGAGCAUCUUCUUUCUCAUCUGUUGUGAAAGCUUUGAAGAGCCACACUCACAACUCAGUUAACCUGCUAUUGAUCUGUGGUUUCUAUAGAAGCAGCAUAUGAUACAUUCUGAGUGUAGGGUUUAGGGUCCAAUGCCUGGAUUUAAUUCCCAGCUCUGCUAAUUCCUAGCUCUGUGUCUUUAGGCAAGUUACUUUGCCUCACUAAGGGCACAUUCCUUAUCUGUAAAAUGAGGAUACUAAUAGUUCUUACAUAAGAGUCAAUGUGAAGAACAAUCAGACCAUCCAUAUGUAGUGUCUAGAACAGUGCCUGGGACAUAUGAGGUGCUCUAUAAAUCUUACCUCCUGUUAUUGUUAUUAUUAUUAUUGGUGUUACUUUAUUAUUAUUAGCUCAGUAAAGAGAACUUGUUUGGCAAUAAAGGUGAGUCUCGUAUUGAUGUCUACCUAUGGGAUGGGGCAGGGCUCAAAUUCUUUGGUUGAUUAUAUAUUGCAGCACCUUCCCAUUAAAAAAUGAGGGAAGUUUGAUAGUUUAUUAACUUUAGUAGCACUUUUGUUGUAAAACCAACUACAUGCAACAUGCAGAAACAUACGCCAAUAGCUAGAACUAAAGACCUCUGCAUCACUAUCUUUUUUUUUUUUUUUGAGAUAGAGUCUCACUUUGUUGCCCAGGCUGGAGUGCAGUGGUGCAAUCUUGGCUCACUGCAAACUCUGCCUCCUGGGUUCAAGCGAUUCUCCUGCCUUAGCCUCCCAAGUAGCUGGGACUACAGGUGUAUGCCACCACGCCCAAAUAACUUUUUUAAAAAAUAUUUUUAGUAGAGACAGGGUUUCGCCAUGUUGCCCAGGCUAGUCUCGAACUCCUGACCUCAGGUGAUCUGCCCACCUUGGACUCCCAAAGUGCUGGGAUUACAGACAUGAGCCACCAUGCCAGACCGUAUGCAUCACUAUUCAAUGAGCUGUUUUAUCAGAAGCUAAGGAUGUACUUUUUAAAAAGAAUAUGAAAAUAAUGUGCCUUUAAAUUAAGAAUCUGUGAUAUACAAAAUGUUGUAUCAUUGGAUAGGGAAUGGUAUUAAAAAAACAACUGAACACUUUGCCUCUAUGAGAGAAUAUAUAAAUAUAUAUAUAUAAAUAUAUCAACAUUAUAUCAUACAAUAAUAAUAUACCCUUCAUUAUCUUAUUUUAGAUUUAUGAGCUGAAUUACCUAAGAUCUUAGGUCCCACCAAAUUGUCUCUGAAGAGAUUAUAUUUUAUUGCUUGUGGAAUCAGAGUAAAAUACUAACAAAAUAUUGACGGAAUUGAAUGGAUGUUCAGUUCACUUCAGCACAGAUCAUAAGCACUAGAAACCUCAUGGACAGAUGGAUUAAAUAUUAUUCCAGAAAUAACAUGUUUAAAGUUAACUUUUUUUAUUCUUCAGACUUUCUUAGCUUCUCAAAAAUAAUGGGAUGACUGGUUCAAAAGGGACAAUAACCUGAAAUCAUACCCAUAGCAAGAUAUCUGUCUUAUCUAAGGACUGAAUAUGUAUGAUUCUUAUCGUAAUGUCAAUAUUAUUUUUCCACAUAACAAAAUACAUAAUGGCUUGUACAUUAUAAAAAUAGUUCAUUUGUGAGAGCAAAAUCUCAUGGCAAAUUUACAUCAUAGUCUUUUAUUUUCAAGUAUCAUUAUUACAGAAUGCUUAGUAAAUGUGUAGAGCAUUGUAUUAGUACCAAAACAAAUUUAAAACUCUCUGUUUCUCAUUUUUCAGGAUAUGGCAUGAGAUAAUGCAGUGAUUCUUCUCUUAUGCCAGUGGUCUUUUGAGCACAUUUUGAGUAACACUGAAAUAAUUCUUGUGGAGUGCAUAGCAUGGUGCGUAGCACACAUAAACAUUGAUUUCUUUAUUUCUUUUUUCUUUCAUUUUUUUUUCUUUUUCAAAUGACCUCUCCUUUUCCCCCCUGACCAACUCACUCUGCCAUAUUGUGGGAAUACAGUAGAGCACACUAAGAGAGCUGCAGUUUCAGAGUCAGUGGACCUUGUGGGAGGCUUUGGUUGGAGGGAUCAGUUACUGAUACUAUUUCUUCCCACUUCUCCCAGGACCUUGUCCUUUAGAUCUUUUGAUUAUUCCUUUUUUUUUUCACUCUUUAUUUCAUGACUCCUCUUUAGACUACAUAUUAGCUCAAUCUUCAUCAUAAACUGUUUUAAAGCAAUUCCUUUGAAACUGCUCAAGCUCCAAUUCCAUCUCUGCCUCUAACCCUCACUACCAAAAUUCCUGGUUAAAAUUAUUGAAGAAAAGAGUGUAGAGAGAGAAGAGAGAGAAACUAAAAUCAAGUGUUGAUAAAUGCCUACAUGUAGAAAGUGGGAAGGAUAACUCAAGUCAAAGAAGCAGCAAGCAAAGAGGUAGAGGAAGCUGGGUGCUCCCUGUCAUCAGUGUGGGGGGUGCAGGAAGAAGUGGAGGGUCAGUAGGGCUGAAAUGCUGAUAUUUCCAGAGGGAUGGGGGCUGAGGCAAGGUCCUGAUUGGAGACUGGGAUAGUAUCAGUUCUCUUCCAAGCUGUUUUUGUGGAGUAAUAGAAGGUUUCCAUUGUACUGUGAUUAUGAUUGAGAGGGUGCUGAGUAUGUGGAGAUUCUGCAUGGUAGAUUCUUCUUCCAAUGUAUGUAGAUUUAUGUAAAGAACAGCAGAUAAAGCAAUGAAAAAUGAAGUCAGUGUUUACUUACACAAAAAGAGAUAAGUUCUGUAAGGAAAAAAAUAUUCAUGUUACUUGUUAAACAAUAGUAAGGCAGACUUCAUUCCAGACCAUUGCUAUAGGUGUAGGGACCACUGCAAGGGAAUUUUGCAGUAAGAGGGGAGAAAUUAUAGGGGUGGCUGGUUUUUCCAAGAGUUGACUCCAUAGCCAACCUUAAUUUUAACAAUCUAAUUCCAUGUACAUCAUUCUCAAAUAUUGCAUUCUAUUAUAGUUAUUCAAGGCCUUGGUAGUAUUUAGCUCCAAAUAUAAUGAAGAAAAGUGGGGAUUUUUAGCUAGGAGCAGGGCCAGGGAUCGUUGGAUGGAAAAUUAAAAGGAAACAUCAGGGAUAAGGCGGAUUCUGGGAAAAGUGACCUAUAGGAUUCUUGCUUAAGGCCAGCGGGUGAUCAGAUCUCACCUGGCGGAUGGUGGAGGAUGAGGGGACUUGAUCGGAUAGCAAGAAUGGAGGAUUCUGACUAAAGUAGCCUGUCAGUAUUCUUGCUAUGAGUGGGUAGUGCAGAGAUGAACGUGGAAGUCCAACAAUGAGGCCUAAUUGAAAAAGAGCUCAGAGGAGCCUGAUUAGAAUUUAGUCAAGGAGAGAAUCUUUGUCAGUGUGACUGAGACACUUCACAUGUUAUAGAUGUCUUGGAUUGUUUGGUACUGUUCUCUGCCAGUUGUUUAUUGAUAAAUGAAUUCAUUUAUUAAUUAAGAAACAUCAAAUAAGAAAGAUGUUGUUUGGAAAGAACUAACAAGUGAAUUCUAAAAAUUUGUUUGUCUUAAUCAUUACGAUUCUAGACCUCCUAGUUUGUUAUUCACAUUAAAGUUGGUAUUUUUGGGCUCUCUCUUUUGCACAUCAAGCCUCUCAUUCCUAAAUGAUCUAAUUCAAGCUUAAGGACCAGAAUUUUUGGACUUUAGUACCAUUCUAGAAAUAUAUCAUUCUAAAAUCUGAAAUCUACAAUUUUGAAGAAAACUAUUUAUAGGAAACUGAGAGCUAAAACAAUCUUAUAAUAACAUCCCAUUUUUGGUUUCACUUAGUACUUAAGAUAAAAAUUGCUUCUCUGAAUAUAAUUUUGUCACUUUUUUUCCUGUGUACUUUCUUAAUACAGCAAGUAGACUCAGUAAAAUCUGAUACAAUAUACUUAUUUCACUAGUGAAAUUGAAAGCUGAAUGACUGGCGAAUUUAAAAGAUAAUGAGGGUUCUUACUACCAGCGCCAAUAAGAAAGGUUAGACAUUUGUUAAACGUGAUAUGGUGCUAUCUGCCUGCAUGUUAACCAUAUAGUUCAGGGGACACCCAGUGGUUAAAAGUAGGUAAUUCCUUGCUGUGGUACAGUGUUAAAAAAUUAUGGAAAAAUAUAUUUCUUGGCUCAGCAGUGAUCACACAUUGUUGAUUUUUUCUUUCUGAAUGAGUACAUGUUAGGAUGUGUGUGUGUUUUGAGAAAAUGUUUGGUCUUGACUUUAUAUAUAAAUUUUCUUUGAAUAAUAAAAACUCACCAACAAUUUUGAAAAUGUUAGAAAUAUGAUUAAACUUUUCCUUUAAUUAAAACAAAUUAGAAAUGUGGAACAAGUGACUGCGUCAUAAAUAAGAAAAGCCUUUUUGACCCAGAAAUCCCAAUUCUAAGAAUGUAUUCCAAGUAUAUAAUCAGAGGUGUACAUGAUGACUUACUUAUAUCCAACGAUAUUUAUCAUAGCUUUAUUUAUAAUAACAACAAACUAAGAAGGAAACACCUGUAUGGAAGUUAAGUAAAAUCAUAGCGCUGAUAUACUGACGAAGGCAUUUUUAAUACUGUGUUUUGAAAAACAUUUAAUGACAGGCAAAAAUGCUUAUAUUAGGUAAAAAUCUUUCUAAAUGUAAGAUUACAAUUCUAUUCAUAUAACAUACUUAUAAUAUGUUAUCAUGUGCAUAUUUUUGUAUUUGUAUAAAAAUAGGAAAAAACUGAAAUUAGUUGUCUUGGAUGACAGGAUUUUAAGUAAUUAUUAUUUCUUCUUCCUACUUUUUUUAAUCUUAAGUGUAUUUAUUAAACCAGAAGAAAAAGAACAAUAAGCAGCAUAGAUAAUAAAAGAGUAAGAUAAGAGUGUUUUACCAAUGACCAGAAAAGUACCCAUGCAUGUAUCUGCUUAGACCUUAAAGAGAGAAGUGCUGUGUAUUUGAGAUUUUUUACUUUGGGGCCCCUAAGAGAUACUUUCAGAGCAAGGCUGCUGCUGCUGUGUGUGUGUAUAUGAGUGUAUGUUUUGUGUGCUUGUGUGUAGGGGUGGGGGCACACACACGUGUUUGAGUAGAAAAGCACCUCUUAAAUACAGACAGAAAAUAAGAACAAAGACAACUUGGAGGGCAAGAAUACUGAAAUAUUUUUAGUUCAUAUUCUCUUUGGAAUCUGAUGAAACUGUGAUCUUUUCUCUGAAAGCUACACACAUGUACGAAUACAAAAAA